Molecule: transfer RNA, 73 nt
Filed under: Felis catus (domestic cat)
Lineage: Eukaryota; Metazoa; Chordata; Mammalia; Carnivora; Felidae
Also listed under: 6 other names
Rfam family: tRNA
About the family: Transfer RNA (tRNA) molecules are approximately 80 nucleotides in length. Their secondary structure includes four short double-helical elements and three loops (D, anti-codon, and T loops).
Source: Rfam by way of RNAcentral
ACCUGACUGGCUCAAUCAGUAGAGCAUGUGACUCUAGAUCUUGGGAUUGAGAGUUCAAGCCCCAUGUUUGGUA